GAUGAACGCUGGCGGCGUGCCUAAUACAUGCAAGUCGAGCGAACAGACGAGGAGCUUGCUCCUCUGACGUUAGCGGCGGACGGGUGAGUAACACGUGGAUAACCUACCUAUAAGACUGGGAUAACUUCGGGAAACCGGAGCUAAUACCGGAUAAUAUAUUGAACCGCAUGGUUCAAUAGUGAAAGACGGUUUUGCUGUCACUUAUAGAUGGAUCCGCGCCGCAUUAGCUAGUUGGUAAGGUACAGGCUUACCAAGGCAAGGAUGCGUAGCCGACCUGAGAGGGUGAUAGGCCACACUGGAACUGAGACACGGUCCAGACUCCUACGGGAGGCAGCAGUAGGGAAUCUUCCGCAAUGGGCGAAAGCCUGACGGAGCAACGCCGCGCGAGUGAUGAAGGUCUUCGGAUCGUAAAACUCUGUUAUUAGGGAAGAACAAAUGUGUAAGUAACUAUGCACGUCUUGACGGUACCUAAUCAGAAAGCCACGGCUAACUACGUG
This 497-nucleotide ribosomal RNA is filed under the name uncultured bacterium. RNAcentral's name for it is "partial 16S ribosomal RNA". It matches the Rfam family "Bacterial small subunit ribosomal RNA", at positions 28 to 507 of the family's 1533-position model. The record is from RNAcentral.